AGAGUUUGAUCCUGGCUCAGAUUGAACGCUGGCGGCAGGCCUAACACAUGCAAGUCGAACGGUAGCACAGAGAGCUUGCUCUCGGGUGACGAGUGGCGGACGGGUGAGUAAUGUCUGGGAAACUGCCUGAUGGAGGGGGAUAACUACUGGAAACGGUAGCUAAUACCGCAUAACGUCGCAAGACCAAAGAGGGGGACCUUCGGGCCUCUUGCCAUCAGAUGUGCCCAGAUGGGAUUAGCUAGUAGGUGGGGUAACGGCUCACCUAGGCGACGAUCCCUAGCUGGUCUGAGAGGAUGACCAGCCACACUGGAACUGAGACACGGUCCAGACUCCUACGGGAGGCAGCAGUGGGGAAUAUUGCACAAUGGGCGCAAGCCUGAUGCAGCCAUGCCGCGUGUAUGAAGAAGGCCUUCGGGUUGUAAAGUACUUUCAGCGGGGAGGAAGGUGUUGUGGUUAAUAACCACAGCAAUUGACGUUACCCGCAGAAGAAGCACCGGCUAACUCCGUGCCAGCAGCCGCGGUAAUACGGAGGGUGCAAGCGUUAAUCGGAAUUACUGGGCGUAAAGCGCACGCAGGCGGUCUGUCAAGUCGGAUGUGAAAUCCCCGGGCUCAACCUGGGAACUGCAUUCGAAACUGGCAGGCUAGAGUCUUGUAGAGGGGGGUAGAAUUCCAGGUGUAGCGGUGAAAUGCGUAGAGAUCUGGAGGAAUACCGGUGGCGAAGGCGGCCCCCUGGACAAAGACUGACGCUCAGGUGCGAAAGCGUGGGGAGCAAACAGGAUUAGAUACCCUGGUAGUCCACGCCGUAAACGAUGUCGACUUGGAGGUUGUGCCCUUGAGGCGUGGCUUCCGGAGCUAACGCGUUAAGUCGACCGCCUGGGGAGUACGGCCGCAAGGUUAAAACUCAAAUGAAUUGACGGGGGCCCGCACAAGCGGUGGAGCAUGUGGUUUAAUUCGAUGCAACGCGAAGAACCUUACCUACUCUUGACAUCCAGAGAACUUUCCAGAGAUGGAUUGGUGCCUUCGGGAACUCUGAGACAGGUGCUGCAUGGCUGUCGUCAGCUCGUGUUGUGAAAUGUUGGGUUAAGUCCCGCAACGAGCGCAACCCUUAUCCUUUGUUGCCAGCGGUCCGGCCGGGAACUCAAAGGAGACUGCCAGUGAUAAACUGGAGGAAGGUGGGGAUGACGUCAAGUCAUCAUGGCCCUUACGAGUAGGGCUACACACGUGCUACAAUGGCGCAUACAAAGAGAAGCGAACUCGCGAGAGCAAGCGGACCUCAUAAAGUGCGUCGUAGUCCGGAUUGGAGUCUGCAACUCGACUCCAUGAAGUCGGAAUCGCUAGUAAUCGUAGAUCAGAAUGCUACGGUGAAUACGUUCCCGGGCCUUGUACACACCGCCCGUCACACCAUGGGAGUGGGUUGCAAAAGAAGUAGGUAGCUUAACCUUCGGGAGGGCGCUUACCACUUUGUGAUUCAUGACUGGGGUGAAGUCGUAACAAGGUAACC
This 1501-nucleotide ribosomal RNA is filed under the name Pantoea sp. PYPB15. RNAcentral's name for it is "bacterial SSU rRNA". It matches the Rfam family "Bacterial small subunit ribosomal RNA". The record is from RNAcentral. Lineage: Bacteria; Pseudomonadati; Pseudomonadota; Gammaproteobacteria; Enterobacterales; Erwiniaceae. RNAcentral also lists the same sequence under 2 other names.